AUUGAACGCUGGCGGCAGGCCUAACACAUGCAAGUCGAGCGGAUGAAGGGUGCUUGCUCCUGGAUUCAGCGGCGGACGGGUGAGUAAUGCCUAGGAAUCUGCCUGGUAGUGGGGGAUAACGUCCGGAAACGGGCGCUAAUACCGCAUACGUCCUGAGGGAGCAAGUGGGGGAUCUUCGGACCUCACGCUAUCAGAUGAGUCUAGGUCGGAUUAGAUAGCUGGUGGGGUAAAGGCCUACUAAGGCGGCGAUCCGUAACUGGUCUGAGAGGAUGAUCAGUCACACUGGAAGUGAGACACGGUCCAGACUCCUACGAGAGGCAGCAGUGGGGAAUGUUAGGCAGUGGGGGAAAACCUGGUCCAGCCAUGCCGCGUGUGAGGAAAAAGUGUUCGGAUUGUAAAGCACUUUAAGUUGGGAGGAACGGCAGUAAGUUAAUACCUUGCUGUAUUGACGUUACCAGCAGAAUAAGCACCGGCUAACUACGUG
This 484-nucleotide ribosomal RNA is filed under the name uncultured bacterium. RNAcentral's name for it is "partial 16S ribosomal RNA". It matches the Rfam family "Bacterial small subunit ribosomal RNA", at positions 30 to 507 of the family's 1533-position model. The record is from RNAcentral.